ACCGCCCCAGGACCCUGUCCGCAGGAGCAGCACAGCAGGCAGCUGCAGGGCAGUGGGAGGAGCUGUCGAGUCAGAAGCCCGGUAAACCCCGUCCUUACGAGCCCCGCCCCUAGCUCUUCUACUACGGAGGGGAACUGCAGAGCCAGAAGAGCACGGAGCAGCAACUCGCAGCCCAAUUGGUGACGCUGCAGAAUGAACUGGAGCUGGCGGAGACCAAAUGCGCCUUGCAGGAGGAGAAGCUGCAGCAGGACGCGCUGCAGACAGCGGAGGCCUGGGCCAUAUUCCAGGAGCAGACCGUAGUCCUGCAGGUGUGACGGGCAGCUUCGCAGAGUGCAGUACAGCACCGAGUCGCUCAUGGAGGAGAUGGCCAGGGCGGACCGAGAGACGCGGCUGUUCGGCGGUCCUCGCGCGCUGGCCAUCAGGCGCUGCUGACGCUGCCGCUCCUCUUCCUGGGGCUGUCGCUGCUCUGGACGGUGCUGUUGGACCCCGGCGCCGUCUCCGCGUGGCUCUGGAGCCUCACCUCGGAGACGACGCUGCGCCGCCUGCGCUACACGCUGUCCCCGCUGCUGGAGCUGCGCGCUAACGGGCUGCUGCCAACCUAAGUGCAGCGCCCCGCGCCUGGCUCCAGGUGGACUCCAGGGCACCGGCUUUAUUUCUGGUGCACUCCUCUCCUGAGAGUGUAGACCAAGGUCGCCUAAUAAACUCCUCAAGGGAUGAAGCUCGUGGGUUCGUCGUCUGUCUCCCAUGUCAUGUAGGAGCUUGACUGGCUUUUCAGCCUCCAAAGAUUCCUUCCUUUCUUACAGCUCAUGGAUUUAGAUCCACUCCCCAGUAUUGUAAACAGCAUUUUUAGUUUUUCAGGAUACAUAAUUUGCCAUAUUGCCAGAAACUUGUACAUAGCAUUUGA
Molecule: long non-coding RNA, 904 nt
Filed under: Homo sapiens (human)
Lineage: Eukaryota; Metazoa; Chordata; Mammalia; Primates; Hominidae
Description: non-protein coding lnc-SERPIND1-1:44
Source: RNAcentral